RNAcentral lists this ribosomal RNA (450 nucleotides) under uncultured bacterium. RNAcentral's name for it is "partial 16S ribosomal RNA". It matches the Rfam family "Bacterial small subunit ribosomal RNA", at positions 354 to 796 of the family's 1533-position model. The record is from RNAcentral.
GUGGGGAAUUUUGGACAAUGGGCGCAAGCCUGAUCCAGCAAUGCCGCGUGCAGGAAGAAGGCCUUCGGGUUGUAAACUGCUUUUGUACGGAACGAAAAGGCUCUGGUUAAUACCUGGGGCUCAUGACGGUACCGUAAGAAUAAGCACCGGCUAACUACGUGCCAGCAGCCGCGGUAAUACGUAGGGUGCAAGCGUUAAUCGGAAUUACUGGGCGUAAAGCGUGCGCAGGCGGUUUUGUAAGACAGACGUGAAAUCCCCGGGCUCAACCUGGGAAUGGCGUUUGUGACUGCAAAGCUGGAGUGCGGCAGAGGGGGAUGGAAUUCCGCGUGUAGCAGUGAAAUGCGUAGAUAUGCGGAGGAACACCGAUGGCGAAGGCAAUCCCCUGGGCCUGCACUGACGCUCAUGCACGAAAGCGUGGGGAGCAAACAGGAUUAGAUACCCCUGUAGUCC